Molecule: ribosomal RNA, 250 nt
Filed under: uncultured prokaryote
Description: partial 16S ribosomal RNA
Rfam family: Bacterial small subunit ribosomal RNA
Source: RNAcentral
UACGUAGGGGGCAAGCGUUGUCCGGAAUGAUUGGGCGUAAAGGGCGCGUAGGCGGCCCCUUAAGUCUGGAGUGAAAGUCCUGUUUUUAAGAUGGGAAUUGCUUUGGAUACUGGGGGGCUUGAGUGCAGGAGAGGUAAGUGGAAUUCCCAGUGUAGCGGUGAAAUGCGUAGAGAUUGGGAGGAACACCAGUGGCGAAGGCGACUUACUGGACCGUAACUGACGCUGAGGCGCGAAAGUGUGGGGAGCAAAC